CCUACGGGCGACAGCAGUGAGGAAUAUUGGUCAAUGGGCGCUAGCCUGAACCAGCCAAGUAGCGUGAAGGAUGACUGCCCUAUGGGUUGUAAACUUCUUUUAUAUGGGAAUAAAGUGCAGUAUGUAUACUGCUUUGCAUGUACCUUAUGAAUAAGGAUCGGCUAACUCCGUGCCAGCAGCCGCGGUAAUACGGAGGAUCCGAGCGUUAUCCGGAUUUAUUGGGUUUAAAGGGAGCGUAGGCGGGUUGUUAAGUCAGUUGUGAAAGUUUGCGGCUCAACCGUAAAAUUGCAGUUGAUACUGGCAGCCUUGAGUACAGUAGAGGUAGGCGGAAUUCGUGGUGUAGCGGUGAAAUGCUUAGAUAUCACGAAGAACUCCGAUUGCGAAGGCAGCCUGCUGGACUGUCACUGACGCUGAUGCUCGAAAGUGUGGGUAUCAAACAGGAUUAGAUACCCCAGUAGUC
This 460-nucleotide ribosomal RNA is filed under the name uncultured bacterium. RNAcentral's name for it is "partial 16S ribosomal RNA". It matches the Rfam family "Bacterial small subunit ribosomal RNA", at positions 338 to 795 of the family's 1533-position model. The record is from RNAcentral.